UUAUCUGGGAAGGGCUACAAAGGGUUGCUUACAUGUACCAAGAAGGCCCAAGAACUUCGAAAGCAGCAGAGGUGUGUAAAAGGUGAUUUCUAAAUACAUUAGGAAUAGAUGAAACACACUGCACUUCAUUUAUGGUUUUGUACUUUUGUUUUCUUUACAGGCUGAAGUGGUUAUGGUGAAUUACUUGGGGGUACAGGGGACCUCAGGAUUUCAGAAUAAAUUCAAGGCUCGGUCACAGGACUCCAUCUGCUAUAUUUAACAAGGAACCUUAGGUGGACAAGCAACAAAGCUGUUAAGAUUAUUUUAUUAUUAUUAAUUUAUGUUUGCACAAUAGCUUUGAAUAAAAAGUCACUAUAUUAAUAAAUCCAUAAAUAGAAACUUAAAAAUUCCACCAAAACUAAUACAGCCC
Non-coding RNA from Pelobates cultripes (western spadefoot toad), 409 nucleotides. The record is from the annotation of a GenBank genome assembly. Lineage: Eukaryota; Metazoa; Chordata; Amphibia; Anura; Pelobatidae.